This 253-nucleotide ribosomal RNA is filed under the name uncultured bacterium. RNAcentral's name for it is "partial 16S ribosomal RNA". It matches the Rfam family "Bacterial small subunit ribosomal RNA", at positions 524 to 776 of the family's 1533-position model. The record is from RNAcentral.
UACGUAGGGUGCGAGCGUUAAUCGGAAUUACUGGGCGUAAAGCGUGCGCAGGCGGCGCGUUAAGACAGGUGUGAAAGCCCCGAGCUUAACUUGGGAAUUGCGCUUGUGACUGGCGUGCUGGAGUGUGGCAGAGGGAGGUGAAAUUCCACGUGUAGCAGUGAAAUGCGUAGAGAUGUGGAGGAACACCGAUGGCGAAGGCAGCCUCCUGGGCCAGCACUGACGCUCAUGCACGAAAGCGUGGGGAGCAAACAGG